This 253-nucleotide ribosomal RNA is filed under the name uncultured bacterium. Its description in RNAcentral is "partial 16S ribosomal RNA". It matches the Rfam family "Bacterial small subunit ribosomal RNA", at positions 524 to 776 of the family's 1533-position model. The record is from RNAcentral.
UACAGAGGGUGCGAGCGUUAAUCGGAUUUACUGGGCGUAAAGGGCGCGUAGGCGGUUAAGUGAGUGUGAUGUGAAAGCCCCGGGCUCAACCUGGGAAGUGCAUCGCAAACGACUUAACUGGAGUAUAUGAGAGGGUGGCGGAAUUUCCGGUGUAGCGGUGAAAUGCGUAGAGAUCCGGAGGAACACCAGAGGCGAAGGCGGCCUACUGGGCUGCACCUGACGCUGAGCCGCGAAAGCCAGGGGAGCGAACGGG